RNAcentral lists this ribosomal RNA (406 nucleotides) under uncultured bacterium. RNAcentral's name for it is "partial 16S ribosomal RNA". It matches the Rfam family "Bacterial small subunit ribosomal RNA", at positions 30 to 526 of the family's 1533-position model. The record is from RNAcentral.
AUUGAACGCUGGCGGCAGGCCUAACACAUGCAAGUCGAGCGAGCGGCGGACGGGUGAGUAAUAUCUGGGAAACUGCCUGAUGGAGGGGGAUAACUACUGGAAACGGUAGCUAAUACCGCAUCCAAUCAGAUCUGCCCAGAUGGGAUUAGCUAGUAGGUGGGGUAACGGCCCACCUAGGCGACGAUACCUAGCUGGUCUGAGAGGAUGACCAGCCACACUGGAACUGAGACACGGUCCAGACUCCUACGGGAGGCAGCAGUGGGGAAUAUUGCACAAUGGGCGAAAGCCUGAUGCAGCCAUGCCGCGUGUGUGAAGAAGGCCUUCGGGUUGUAAAGCACUUUCAGCGGGGAGGCGUUACCCGCAGAAGAAGCACCGGCUAACUCCGUGCCAGCAGCCGCGGUAAUUC